GUCCUUUGAUAAUGCCCAUGAACAGUUCUUGGCGAUUCUCUCAUUUCUAGCCAUGGUUCUUUCGAUCAGAGAAGCAAGAACAGAUAUUACUAAUGGGGUAUGGGAGUCGCUUUGGUAUGAAUAGGAGUAUAGAUCUGAUCGGAGCUUUCUCGGAGAAAUUGCAAGCGAAGAUGUAGCCAUUCGCGAAUCAAGUUGAAAGAGAGAGAGAGAGAGAGAGAGAGA
This 222-nucleotide unclassified non-coding RNA is filed under the name Hevea brasiliensis (rubber tree). Lineage: Eukaryota; Viridiplantae; Streptophyta; Magnoliopsida; Malpighiales; Euphorbiaceae. The record is from RNAcentral.